Transfer RNA from Fomitopsis pinicola, 84 nucleotides. It matches the Rfam family "tRNA". From Rfam's summary of the family: Transfer RNA (tRNA) molecules are approximately 80 nucleotides in length. Their secondary structure includes four short double-helical elements and three loops (D, anti-codon, and T loops). Further hydrogen bonds mediate the characteristic L-shaped molecular structure. tRNAs have two regions of fundamental functional importance: the anti-codon, which is responsible for specific mRNA codon recognition, and the 3' end, to which the tRNAs corresponding amino acid is attached (by aminoacyl-tRNA synthetases). tRNAs cope with the degeneracy of the genetic code in two manners: having more than one tRNA (with a specific anti-codon) for a particular amino acid; and 'wobble' base-pairing, i.e. permitting non-standard base-pairing at the 3rd anti-codon position. Lineage: Eukaryota; Fungi; Basidiomycota; Agaricomycetes; Polyporales; Fomitopsidaceae. The record is from Rfam.
GGCCGUCUGGCGAAAUGGCAUCGCGUCUGACUACGACAGAGUCCGUAUAUCAGGAGAUUGUAGGUUCGACCCCUACGUCGGUCA